Molecule: non-coding RNA, 6501 nt
Organism: Rattus norvegicus (Norway rat)
Lineage: Eukaryota; Metazoa; Chordata; Mammalia; Rodentia; Muridae
Source: RefSeq, a predicted model, not a curated record
GUUGGGAAGUUCACUACGACUCUUUGCAGAGCAGAAGGAAAUGUAUUCGGAUGCCAGCUCCGCUGGAUGCCGGGGAUGGAGAGGCAGCUUGACCCGAGAAGCGCUUCUCCAUUGAGCCAAGCCCCGAGAUUUCCUAGAGCCUUUGCUUGGAUACCUGUUUUCCCGGUGCAGAGCGCAACUUGAAGACAGGAUUCUUGCCUUCAGGGAGCUUAAGGUCUGUCUUCAGUGCAGGAAAUUGACGGUUAAACAAUAGGAAAGCAGAUAGAUCCUUGUUAGUCUCUGCGAUGAUCCAGAAGGUUACAGUGGCGGCGAACUCUUAUGGCGGUGAAACAACAGGCUUCUCGCUCACAAACCUGGGAGGAAGUGACCAGAACACACAGGGAAGGAACGGUCCCAUUCGAGGAGCAGCCUGGACCUCUGGUCUCAGUGCCAAUGUGCACUAGUCCAGUCAGCACUGGGAACAUCUGAGGCUGACUCUCCGCAGAGAUGUUUUCCUGUUCCCUAACCUUCCCUAGCCUUAUGCUUGGUUAUCUACUGUUUUCAAGACAAACAAAGGAAAACCCAAAUACGGUGUAUUCACAUGCAAUGCCGUAUGCCUCCCCGUGACCACUUCCAUUCUUCCCUAAGACAAGGUGAGCUUGAUUGAUCAUCUAUUCCUUUGGAAAACUGUGGGAUGUGGCCAUUGCUCUGAUGGAUGCACCCAACAGCCAACUUCGCCCAACCGUGUGCACAUUUAUGGCUGGGACAAAGGUGCAGAUGCCCUAAUCCAGGACGCGGUGAAGCACUCUGCCCUUUCUCCUUCAGCAUGAGAUCCAUACCCACUUAGGCACUGUCGCGGCUUGACUGGUAACCUACUGUUCUAAAUAUGUUUUUACAUUACACUCACCUCAUGGGCCACCCUUCCCUCCCAAUCCCCUUUUAUAAAGCUCACAUAUUACCCAAACCCAACACUUUCAUUUCAGCCCGCCCACUUUCUCUAGCGGAGAGCAAAGAAGGAACGCACAUCCGCUCUGCCUGUGGUACAGCCCACUCUUCCCUUUGGGAGUCGAGUUCCAGGCCGUUUUCAUCAUCCGAGCCUGAAUCGAGUCCUGUAACAACUUCAGAGAUUUGAUAGCGAGAGGUGGCAUCUCGCCAUCUUGCACUGAGGCUACCUGUUAUGUGUGGGAACGCACAGCACAGUUCACCCCACUGAUUUCCACAAUGAUUGCAAGAUACCUCUUGUGUGUGUCAUCCUGGUGUGUAGCAUAUUAAUGACACCGCAGUGGGUAAAGAGCUGACCAGCCAGAUGAAAAAAAAAAUCCCUGAGCCAUUUGUGUUACGCCAUUUUGGCAAUUCAAUCAUGAAAGUCUCAGUCACAUGAAGGACCCAUUAUUGACCUAUAAUAAAAAGGCAAUUUCAUGAACCUCAACAGAAAACUGCAUUCUUUGAUGCAUUUCCCGUCUUCCCAACUAGUUCCUUAGUUCCUCUUAUAAAAUUAAUUUUUCUGAGAACUUCUUACAUGAGUAUACUGUACUUCGUAACAUUCCCGGGCCUCCCUGCCCACUCUUGUGUGGACUUAGUGAUUCUCGGGUUUUUUUCUGAGGUCACUGCCCUGCUUAGCUGUCCUGAAGACAGGACUAACUCACCCUAGGAACCACAGAGCUAAGUGAAAAGUGCAGUCCUCUCUCCACGGUGUAUGCUCACUGGAACCAACAGCGUGUCUCUCUGAUUCUCAGACUUCCUGUGUCCAAAUUUUCUCUCUCUCCUUUUCUUUUGGAACUGAGUUGAACCCAGGGCUCUGCACAUGAUGGGUGAGUGCCCCAGCACUAAACUGUAUCCUAAGCCCCAUUCCUACUUUUUAUUUGAGACUUUGAGACAGUCUCACUGUGUCACCAGGCUGCCCUUGAACCCCCACAGGUAGCCCAGCUCAUCUUACCUUGGUGUCCUGAGGAACUAGAAUCACUAACCUCAUCCACCCAGCCAGGCUUCACCCCAAAAUCCACAAACUUCUCAAGGGAACUACCUCAGGGACACCCCACCAUCACCCUGGACUCAUGAAUUUGUAGUGCUGUCUCUCUGUUUUGGAGAUUUGCUUGCUCCUAGCCAGGCAGUACAGAAGGUGGUAUUCUAAUGAGAGAAGAUGGCGGAUUGCACUUUGAAGUCUUGUUUAUUGAGGAAAAGCUCUUGCCUUGGGCUGCUAAGGACACAGCUGAAAGUAUUCUGCCAGUUGGCUGGACUCGAAAGGAAGAUAGGAGAGAUGAUGCAAGCAUUUGUUCUUAACCCAAUGGACAGACAUAAAGCACAUACUUUACCGGACUAUACAUACAUGCACACCAUAUAGAUGUGGCAAUGCCUUUCAUAUCAGACAUUACUGACAAAGGAUAGGCCUGGGCUUUAUACACUCUGGAGUGCCUGUUUAAGAACAAGGUGGGGCUUUGUUUAUUUGUUUGUUUUUAUGGUGUGAACAUGAACUCUUAAAAUUGUGGAAAUAAAUAACAACAAUUUAAAUUUCUUUAAUAUUCAUAAAUGUUAUGAAACAAAAAAUUUAAAUAACAAUUCUUGUGAGGAAAGUGCCUGACACUUCUGCACUCCUUGCUUCCCUCCGUGUUUAAAACACAUAUCUUGGAGCAUCUUUUUACAUAAUGAUUUAAGGUCACAUGUCUAUGAAAGUAAUCAAAUAACAGAAAGUUGGCGCUGUUUUGCACUUUUGAGAUAAUUUAGAAUAAUGGCUUUCUUACUGCUAGACCUGAAUUCUACAUUCUGGGGAAUUGUCAAGUUUGAGGGGAAAAAAAUCAUCAAAUGUCAUUUUCCUAUAGCUGUAAUGUUAUAAGAACUUCAACUUUCCUGAAUUAACCUUGAUUUGUCCUAGAACUGACGACACUGACUAGUUUCCGACGGGUUCUAGGCUUGACAUUAUCAGCGACAACUUGAGUAUUUUGUCUCAUAUCAGACAGAAGAAUUAAGAUCUUUUCCCCUAGGUGUCCGUAUGAGUCACUCCUCUCCAUUAAUUAGAUUAUCCAAUAAUGCUGGAGUCUGCUCAUUAUUUCUCUUCAACGUUCUCUCUCUUCUAAAAAGAACUACGGUUUUCUGUGAUCUGUGCUGGGGGAGGGCUGCAGUGGCUCCUUCUCUCAGGCUAAUUUCUGCUGAUGUCAGUGUUCAGCUUCGACUGAACUCUUCUGUUUUCGAUUUCACUAAUUUUCGUGAGUUUUCUCUUGGUUCUUUGAUGAGUGACUAUAACCAAUAGGAGGAGGGGCUCUUUCAGCACAGCACAAGGGACUCCUUCAUUAAAAUGUCCCAAAGUGUCCUUCCAAGCUGCGGCAAACUUUGAAAUCCUUCCCUGAACUUUGUGCAGCCCUCCAUUUUUGGAUUUCUCUUCCCAGCCUAUUGAAUUUUUUAGAAACUUGAUGUUGCUGAGCUCCUUUCCAAAUUCUGAGCCCCUUUCAAUUGGAAAACAGUGCACACAGAUUCUUUAAGCAAAAUCUGAAUGUGUCGAGCAUAUUUAAAAUAGAUACUUUGGGGGAGAGCAAGAUGGCCCACUGGUUAACAGUGCUUACUCUCUUCACAGAGGACCCGAGUUCUGUUCCUAGCACUCACACGGUGGCUCAAAAACACCUGUAACCCUAGUUACAGGGAAUCUGAUGACGACUUCUGGCUUAAAGAAGCAAGUGCACACAUAUAAGCAAUAAAUAAAUAUGGUGCGUGCCUGUACUUUUAACACUGGGGAGGAGGAACACAGGCAAAUUCCUACAGAGCCAUUGAUCAGCCAUCUUGAGUUACUUGGCAAGAUCCAGGUCCCAGAGAGAGAGAGAGAGAGAGAGAGAGAGAGAGAGAGAGAGAGAGAGAGAGACUGUUCAAAAACCAAGGCAGAUGGCUCCUGAGGAAUAACACUGAAAUUAAGCCUCUGUGAACACACACACACACACACACACACACACACACACACACACACACACAUACACACACACUAAAGAAAGGAAAGGAGGGAGGGAGGGAGGUCAGACAUCUACACAGUAUUAGGGCUUCUCCAUGGUCUUAGAUGGGGCUGUGGUUCUGAAGCUGCCUUUACUUCAAAGUCAGUCCUACCUCUGCUUUAUAACUAAUAAACAGCGGGCUUCUUGUUUCUGAGGGAAACACUUGAAUGAAUUUUUAAAAAAGUAAUUUGUUAAGGACUCUGUCAACAAUGCACACAGGAAAGCCUUGUGCUAAAUCCAACCCACCUUCCUUCCAUGCUCUAGGAGAGCAUAGACACCCAGAAGAGCAUUUGGUUUUAAUGCCUCUCACGAGCAUGCUGAGCUCCUACCUUCUCAUCUUGACUCUUUUCAAAGAAUCUCUGUUUUGUUCUUAUCAUAAUGAUAUUAAUUACUCAACCCAGGCAAUCUUUUCCAGGACAGUUAAAUAACUCGCACCCAUUGUCUGAAGGCUUGCUUGUCCAGCAACCAUGAAAAUUAUUCAUUUCCCAAUGCCAUCUAUGUGUGCUUUGUGGUGACACCUUGCUCCUUAAAUUUGCCUUGUGGUUUGAAAACUUACACAAGAGAGCAGGGGUAAGGGAAUAAUGAAGACUGAGAGGAGUUUGGCCUCUAGGAAGAAGGAAGAUACAAUGUGGUAAGAAGGGACAAGAGGACCUCAGAAGGAGAGGAUUUGAACAGAGCAUCCUUUCUACAGUCACUCAUCCAAAAUGGAAAUGACCCCUAGUCAGCACAAUUAUUAUUGGCAUUGCCUUACUAGUUUGCUUGUUUAUUAUUAUUAUUAUUAUUAUUAUUAUUAUUAUUAUUGAUGAUGAUGAUGAUGAUGAUGAUGAUGAUGAUGAUGAUUUUCCCCCUUUACAUAGCAAAGAUGCAAUACUAUAUCUGGUCCAAGUAAAUCUUUUUUGAAAAUUAUUUCAUGUGUAUCUGUGUUUUGUCUUUCUGUAUAUAUGUAUGUGUACUGGCUGGUUUUGUGUGUAAACUUGAAACAAGCUGGAGUUAUCACAGAGAAAGGAGCCUCUCUUGAGGAAAUGCCUCCAUGAGCAAGCCAGGAGAAGCAAGCCAGGAAUAGAAACCCUAAGACAAAUUGGUACCAGAAGUGGGGUAUUCCUGUGACAACCUGGCCAUGUUUCGGGGAGGAAUGUGGAAAGACCUUGGAACUUUGAGUUAGAAGAGCCAUUGGAACAUUAAGAGUUCUGUAGGAGCUUGGAAGAUAAUGUUGAGAACAGUGCAGAAGAUGGAGGCCUGGCUUAUGAAAUUUCAGAGGGAAGGUUAAACACUCUUAUCAGGGCUGUUGCUAUUUUUAUUGUGAAGAUUCGUGGCUGAAGAAUCAGCUGUUAUUAACAAGAUAACAGCACUACUGGGACUAUUGGUGCUGGUCAGCUGGAGCUAAGAAAUUAGUGGUAAUUAAAAAGAGAUCAGCAUCAUAGAGGUGAAUUCUUGGAAGUGUUUUCUGAAAGCACAAAGAGGCUAUGUUCAAGAAAUAGCCAAGGUUGUACCUUGUGCUGUGGCUGGACUUGGUAAUGUAUAAGAGUCAUCCAGGUGGUACUGGUUUUGAAGACAUGAAGGGAUCAUGAAGAACAGCUGAGGCUGGGCACUGUGAGAGGCCAUGGAGAGCCACUGGUGAAGGUGCAGCCUCAGUUGCAAUUGAUGGCCUAGUACUGAAGGGGUCAUGCAAAGGAGCUGAGGCUUGGCACCAUGAAGAGAGCCUAUGAAAGGCCAUUGGUGAAGCCUAGUUGCAGCAGAAGAUAGCAAUGUUUUGGAGAUGCCAGUACCAUGAGAUGACCACCACCAACAGUAGCAGCAGUGGAGAACAGGCAUCUGGAGCCUAGAAGACAAGGUGUGUGCUACAAAGGGCAGAGCUGGAAAAGUGAGCCAAGCGCUCAAAGGAACCCAGAAGAUCAUGAGUAGAUCCCAAACAUUGGAUAGUUAGAAUUUCAUUUCAUUUUUGAUUGUGACUGUCCCCUAAUAUUUCUCCCUCUUGAAGGAAGAAUGUAUAUAGUGGAGCCUAUAAUUAAGAAACUUUGAAUUGUAAAAAACUUUGAAUUUUAAAAGAGAUUAGAUAUUUUAAAGGAAUUGAAUUUUUAAUAUGUAAGAAUUUGUAAAGACUGUGGGACUCUUAAAGUUAUUUAGAUCUUGGGAAUAAAUAAGAAAGUAAGGGUUGAGACUUAAUAGUGACGUGUUUAUGUGUCGAGUUGACAAGGGGUCAAUUGUGCUGGCUCUUUUUGUGUCAACUUGACACAAACUGGAGUUAUCACAGAGAAAGGAACCUCUCUUGAGGAAAUGCCUCCAUGAGACCCAGCUGUAAGGCAUUUUCUCAACUAGUGACCAAAGGGGAAGGACCCAGCUCCUUGUAGGUGGUGCUGUCCCUGGGCUGGUAGUCUUGGGUUCUGUAAGAAAGCAAGCUGAGCAAGUCAGGGGAAGCAAGCCAGUAAGAAGCAUCCCUCCAUGGACUCUGCAUCAGCUCCUGCUUCCUGACCUGCUUGAGUUCCUGUCCUGACUUCCUUUGGUGAUGAACAAAAAUAUGGAAGUGUAAGCUAAAUAAAACCUUUCCUCCCCA